GGCUCUGUGGCGCAAAGGAUAGCGCAUUGGACUUCUAAUUCAAAGGUUGUGGGUUCGAGUCCCACCAGAGUCG
Non-coding RNA from Ictalurus furcatus (blue catfish), 73 nucleotides. The record is from the annotation of a RefSeq genome assembly. NCBI's taxonomy places the organism in Eukaryota, Metazoa, Chordata, Actinopteri, Siluriformes, Ictaluridae.